RNAcentral lists this unclassified non-coding RNA (859 nucleotides) under Hevea brasiliensis (rubber tree). Lineage: Eukaryota; Viridiplantae; Streptophyta; Magnoliopsida; Malpighiales; Euphorbiaceae. The record is from RNAcentral.
AAAAGGAAGGAUGAAGAAUAUGAAAGCGAUGAAAAUGGAAAUGAUGAUGAAGAUCCCGGAACUCAGAAGAAACCUCGUGUAGUUUGGGCUAUAGAGCUUCACAAGAAGUUUGUUACAGCAGUUCAUCAGUUAGGCCUUGAAAAAGCUGUGCCUAAGAGGAUUCUUGAUCUGAUGAAUGUUGAAGGACUUACAAGAGAGAAUGUGGCGAGCCAUCUCCAGAAGUAUAGGCUCUUCUUGAAAAGGAUCAAUGCGGCAGAUGCCCAGCAAGCCAACUUGGCUGCCGCUGCAUUAGGGGGUAAAGAUUCUGCAUACAUGCGAAUGGGUUCACUGGACGGGCUUGGUGGUUUUCGAACGUUGGCUGGAUCAGGUAGGUUCGGUCAAGCUAGCUUAUCAUCAUCAUAUGCAUCAGGAGGCAUGCUUGGCAGACUAAAUAGUCCUUCUGGUGUAAGCCUUCGCAAUCUAGCAUCUACACCUAUUCUCCAACCUAAUCAUGGUCAAAAUAUGAGUAAUAACUCCCUCAAUGCCUUGAUGAAAUUUAACGCAAAUGUUCCACCUGCUAGCCAGAAUGCUAAUUUUUUCCAAGGGAUUCCUGCAUCGUUGGAGCUUGAUCAACUGCAGCAGAGUAAGUGUGCCACACACAUAGGAGAGUUGAAUCCUUUGGAUGAGUCAAGACUGCAUACAGUGGCCAGUACAUUCACGAACUCUAGAUUGGUUGGUAGCGCAAACAGCUCUAUGCCCAAUGUAUCAAAUAAUCCUAUUUUGCUUCAAGUAAAUUCCCAGCAACCACUGACGGGGAUGGGAUUUGGAAAUCAGACUUCUCUCAACGUAGCCUCUUUUAGCUCUGAGGCCUUCAAUACUG